CCUACGGGUGGCAGCAGUGGGGAAUAUUGCGCAAUGGGCGAAAGCCUGACGCAGCGACGCCGCGUGCGGGAUGAAGGUCCUCGGAUCGUAAACCUCUGUUAGCAGGGAAGAACGGUCACUGUGCUAAUCAGCAGUGAAUUGACGGUACCUGCAAAGGAAGCAUCGGCUAACUCCGUGCCAGCAGCCGCGGUAAUACGGUGGGUGCGAGCGUUAAUCGGAAUUACUGGGCGUAAAGCGCUCGUAGGCGGUAUGUCAAGUCAAGGGUGAAAUCCCCGCGCUCAACGUGGGAACUGCCUUUGAAACUGGCGAGCUGGAGUGUGGGAGAGGAUGGUGGAAUGCCAGGUGUAGCAGUGAAAUCCGUAGAUAUCUGGAGGAACAUCAGUGGCGAAGGCGACUAUCUGGCACAUAACUGACGCUGAGGAGCGAAAGCGUGGGGAGCAAACAGGAUUAGAUACCCUUGUAGUC
This 465-nucleotide ribosomal RNA is filed under the name uncultured bacterium. RNAcentral's name for it is "partial 16S ribosomal RNA". It matches the Rfam family "Bacterial small subunit ribosomal RNA", at positions 338 to 795 of the family's 1533-position model. The record is from RNAcentral.